This 468-nucleotide ribosomal RNA is filed under the name uncultured bacterium. RNAcentral describes it as "partial 16S ribosomal RNA". It matches the Rfam family "Bacterial small subunit ribosomal RNA", at positions 28 to 507 of the family's 1533-position model. The record is from RNAcentral.
GACGAACGCUGGCGGCGUGCUUAACACAUGCAAGUCGAACGGAAAGGCCCUGCUUUUGUGGGGUGCUCGAGUGGCGAACGGGUGAGUAACACGUGAGUAACCUGCCCUUGACUUUGGGAUAACUUCAGGAAACUGGGGCUAAUACCGGAUAGGAGCUCCUGCUGCAUGGUGGGGGUUGGAAAGUUUCGGCGGUUGGGGAUGGAUGCGCGGCUUAUCAGCUUGUUGGUGGGGUAGUGGCUUACCAAGGCUUUGACGGGUAGCCGGCCGGAGAGGGUGACCGGCCACAUCGGGACUGAGAUACGGCCAAGACUCCAACGGGUGGCAGCAGUGGGGAAGAUGGCAUAAUGGGCGGAAGCCUGAUGCAGCAACGCCGCGUGCGGGAUGACGGCCUUCGGGUUGUAAACCGCUUACGCCUGUGACGAAGCGUGAGUGACGGUAAUGGGUAAAGAAGCACCGGCUAACUACGUG